Molecule: transfer RNA, 70 nt
Filed under: Fasciola hepatica (liver fluke)
Lineage: Eukaryota; Metazoa; Platyhelminthes; Trematoda; Plagiorchiida; Fasciolidae
Description: tRNA-Val
Source: RNAcentral
CAGCGAUAGCUCAGCUGGUGGAGCAUCUGCACUACAUGCGGAGGGUCGCCGGUUCGAUUUCGGCUCGCGA